AAUUAAACCGUUGUGCUAAAAGGACCGGUCAUCCGCUGAUCUCCAUGACGUUAAGGAUCGUUCUAUUCCAAUUCUCUGGUCCAACUCAAGUUGAAGCAUGGUGUCUAUCGGAUAUUCAAAACUUUGCCAAAUAAUUCUUUCGCCUUCAUCAUUUUGAACCAAAACCAGAUUUCCUGAAUUUAGGAGCCGAGCUGCACAAUUCGCUAUUCCUUCCACUGAAACUGUU
Molecule: unclassified non-coding RNA, 226 nt
Filed under: Hevea brasiliensis (rubber tree)
Lineage: Eukaryota; Viridiplantae; Streptophyta; Magnoliopsida; Malpighiales; Euphorbiaceae
Source: RNAcentral